ACAUCAUCUACUAAAUUGAUUUCACACCCCGCUAAUGGAUGGUGAGGCACAGUUUGAAAAACUGCAUUCUUUCAGGACACUGAAUGGUCAGAACCCAAUGUGCUUUUAUUCAUUCAUUCAACAAAUAUUUGUGGCCAUGUAUAAUGUAUCAGGUGCUGUAUUUACUGUACUUCAUGCCAGGAAAGCAACAGAGAAGAAAACAUACCCAGUCCAGUCCCUGACCUCAUGUCAUUUACAAUCUCGGCUAAUCAAGUUCACAAAUAAAUAAUUCCAAAUCAUGAUGGGAGUGAAGCCAUAGAGGAUAAGAGGGCUCGGGGUGGUGAUCAGAGGUCUCUGAGGCAAUGAUCUGGAAGCUGCCACCUACAAGAUAAAGAGUAAGCAAGAUAGAGACAGCAGGAAUGAGCUCUCCGACGGAGGGCAUGAACAGCAAGUGCAAAGGCCCUGCGACUCGAAAGAGCAUGAAAGACUGAGGAAGCGGCCAGUGUGGCUCCAACACAGUGGAGGAGUGGGGGGAUCCUACUGAGAUAGAGGCCCUGGGCUGAAUAAUUCUCAUCCUUCAAGGCCCAACUCCAGCCAAUGGCACCGACCUCCUGGACCUGCUAGGCAGAAGUGGUGGCUCCCUCUCAGCUGACCCCAGAGCACUUCCUUAGCUCCUGCUGAUCUCAGAGCACACACACCAAUCCACUCUGGCCACUCAGCAAUUUUUCUUGAUGGCCCUGGCAUGGCACCUAUGCUGGGGUCAGACCCUCAACCAGCCCUUCAGUGUUGAAAUGCACAACCUCAGCCCUCUAGCCUCAGCGGAGGAAGCAGGGCUCUUCAGUUUGGGAGAACCAUAUACAACCAGAAGAAGGGGCCAAAAUAUCUGAAGCCCCCAGGAGCUGGCUCCUCCACAGCUCUCAGGAAUGACAGUAAACACAGACGGCCCUGCAUGUAUUCCGGCUGUGGCAGCCUUCCUCCUGGGCUGCACAUCAGGCUAACAAGCCCAGCCCUCAGCUUCACAGGGAUUGGAGAGCUGGUGACCCUAGUCAAGGAAGCUGGUGACCCUGGAUCAGUUGCCUCCCCUCUCUGUGCCUAAAUCCCCCACCCCACUUCUGUCAAUUAGGAGGAUGAUGCCUUCUUCAAAGUGUUGUCAUAAAGAUUAAAUCCUUAUUAAAGUCU
Molecule: long non-coding RNA, 1158 nt
Filed under: Homo sapiens (human)
Lineage: Eukaryota; Metazoa; Chordata; Mammalia; Primates; Hominidae
Description: non-protein coding FAM83A-AS1:2
Source: RNAcentral